RNAcentral lists this ribosomal RNA (396 nucleotides) under uncultured bacterium. RNAcentral's name for it is "partial 16S ribosomal RNA". It matches the Rfam family "Bacterial small subunit ribosomal RNA", at positions 523 to 918 of the family's 1533-position model. The record is from RNAcentral.
AUACGUAGGGGGCGAGCGUUGUCCGGAAUGAUUGGGCGUAAAGGGCGCGUAGGCGGCCCGGUAAGUCUGGAGUGAAAGUCCUGUUUUUAAGAUGGGAAUUGCUUUGGAUACUGUCGGGCUUGAGUGUAGGAGAGGUAAGUGGAAUUCCCAGUGUAGCGGUGCAAUGCGUAGAGAUUGGGAGGAACACCAGGGGCGAGGGCGACUUCCUGGACUGUAACUGACGUUGAGGCGCGAAAGUGGGGGGACCAAACAGAAUUAAAUACCCUGGUAGCCCACAGUGUAAACGAGAAUUCCUAGUUGUGGGGGUUACGACCCCUUCUUUGCCCGAGGCAACACAAAUAGCAAUUCGGCUUGGGAGUACGGCCGCAAGGUUGAAACUCAAAGGAAUUGACGGGG